GAACGCUAGCUACAGGCUUACACAUGCAAGUCGAGGGGAAACGGCAUUUAGUGCUUGCACUGAAUGGACGUCGACCGGCGCACGGGUGAGUAACGCGUAUCCAACCUACCCAUUACUGUGGGAUAACCUGCCGAAAGGCAGACUAAUACCGCAUAGUCUUCGAUGACGGCAUCAGAUUUGAAGUAAAGAUUUAUCGGUAAUGGAUGGGGAUGCGUCUGAUUAGCUUGUUGGCGGGGUAACGGCCCACCAAGGCGACGAUCAGUAGGGGUUCUGAGAGGAAGGUCCCCCACAUUGGAACUGAGACACGGUCCAAACUCCUACGGGAGGCAGCAGUGAGGAAUAUUGGUCAAUGGGCGCGAGCCUGAACCAGCCAAGUAGCGUGCAGGAUGACGGCCCUAUGGGUUGUAAACUGCUUUUGUAUGGGGAUAAAGUCAAUCACGUGUGAUUGUUUGCAGGUACCAUACGAAUAAGGACCGGCUAAUUCCGUGCCAGCAGCCGCGGUAAUACGGAAGGUCCAGGCGUUAUCCGGAUUUAUUGGGUUUAAAGGGAGCGUAGGCCGGAGAUUAAGUGUGUUGUGAAAUGUAGACGCUCAACGUCUGACUUGCAGCGCAUACUGGUUUCCUUGAGUACGCACAACGUUGGCGGAAUUCGUCGUGUAGCGGUGAAAUGCUUAGAUAUGACGAAGAACUCCGAUUGCGAAGGCAGCUGACGGGAGCGCAACUGACGCUUAAGCUCGAAGGUGCGGGUAUCGAACGGGAUUAGAUACCCUGGUAGUCCGCACAGUAAACGAUGGAUGCCCGCUGUUGGUACCUGGUAUCAGCGGCUAAGCGAAAGCAUUAAGCAUCCU
Molecule: ribosomal RNA, 847 nt
Filed under: uncultured Bacteroidota bacterium
Lineage: Bacteria; Pseudomonadati; Bacteroidota
Description: bacterial SSU rRNA
Rfam family: Bacterial small subunit ribosomal RNA
Source: RNAcentral